AGAUUGAACGCUGGCGGCAGGCCUAACACAUGCAAGUCGAGCGGUAGAGAGGUGCUUGCACCUCUUGAGAGCGGCGGACGGGUGAGUAAUGCCUAGGAAUCUGCCUAGUGGUGGGGGAUAACGUUCGGAAACGGACGCUAAUACCGCAUACGUCCUACGGGAGAAAGCGGGGGACCUUCGGGCCUCGCGCCAUUAGAUGAGCCUAGGUCGGAUUAGCUAGUUGGUGAGGUAAUGGCUCACCAAGGCGACGAUCCGUAACUGGUCUGAGAGGAUGAUCAGUCACACUGGAACUGAGACACGGUCCAGACUCCUACGGGAGCAGCAGUAGGGGAAUAGUU
Molecule: ribosomal RNA, 338 nt
Filed under: uncultured soil bacterium
Lineage: Bacteria
Description: bacterial SSU rRNA
Rfam family: Bacterial small subunit ribosomal RNA
Source: RNAcentral